Long non-coding RNA from Chelonia mydas (Green sea turtle), 938 nucleotides. RefSeq lists it as uncharacterized. The record is from RefSeq and is a predicted model, not a curated record. Lineage: Eukaryota; Metazoa; Chordata; Testudines; Cheloniidae. The transcript has 2 exons.
UUCCACAUCUGCCUACUGCAGUGGCUCUUGCAGCAUCUGACCAUUGUUUGGGGCAGAAUACUGGACUACGUAGACCUUUGAUCUAACCCAGUCUGGCAAUUCCUAAGUUCCUAUGUUUUUUUGUUUUGUUCUGUUUUAAAUCAGACCCAGUGUCUAUUGACUAAAACAAGGCCUGUGAAAUUUUCAGACACUGGCUUUUUUUGACUAAAGAUAUGGAUUAUAUUUUGUAUGACUUGCUGAUAGCUUUGAUAUUGUAUAUUCUGUGUAAUGUAUAUUUUUCUUGCUGAAAUCUUCUGAGGUCAGGUGUACUGUUUAAAUUAAUUAAUUUUAAUUUCUGAAUGUGUUGUAUUUCAUAACUAUAACGUGAGGUGAGAUGCUGAGGUAAUGUGAUAUCUUAUAAUUCUAUAUUUUUUGGCAAUUAUCAUACCCCUAUGUGUGAGGCUGUGUUAGGGUGCAUAAACCCCACAGAGGUCAACAAAGCACUAAUGGAAGCCUGAGAAACCAGUUAGCUCACCCUGUUGCACCGGGAGGGUGUGUCAGGUUCAAUUCAGUAUCAGACCCAGCUGGGGAGGAGAUGGUGUGGUUUCUAUAACGGAAGGAGCUCCGUGCACUUGAGGAAGAAGAUAUUAUGUUAUUUCCUGAGGAGAAAGGAAAGGUAUCUGUCUGUUCAGGGUUGAGAAAUAGAAGAACCCCUCUGUAAGGGAAAGGAGAGGAACAAGGGAAACUGCCACUCUUGUGUUGUCUCCUCCCUCCAUUCGUGCUGCCUUGUACAGUGUGAGGCUACAUUAACAACGUGUUAACCUUUGAGGACUUGCUCGUUCAUCCUUUAGCAGUAAGGCAUCCCCUGGGAAAUAUCCCACCUUCUGACUUCACCACCUCAACCAAGCUUCACAAUAAUCCUCGCUGUGUACAGUAUUAAAUUGUUUGUUUAAAACUUA